CCUACGGGAGGCAGCAGUGGGGAAUAUUGGGCAAUGGGGGCAAGUCUGACCCAGCAACGCCGCGUGAAUGAAGAAGGCUUUCGGGUUGUAAAGUUCUUUUCUCAGGGACGAAGAAAGUGACGGUACCUGAGGAAUAAGCCACGGCUAACUACGUGCCAGCAGCCGCGGUAAUACGUAGGUGGCAAGCGUUAUCCGGAUUGACUGGGUGUAAAGGGCGCGUAGGCGGGAGGGCAAGUCAGAUGCGAAAACUCAGGGCUCAACCCUGGAACUACAAUUGAAACUGUUGUUCUUGAGUGCUGGAGAGGCAAUCGGAAUUCCGUGUGUAGCGGUGGAAUGCGUAGAUAUACGGAGGAACACCAGUGGCGAAGGCGGAUUGCUGGACAGUAACUGACGCUGAGGCGCGAAAGCGUGGGGAGCAAACAGGAUUAGAUACCCCGGUAGUC
This 443-nucleotide ribosomal RNA is filed under the name uncultured bacterium. RNAcentral describes it as "partial 16S ribosomal RNA". It matches the Rfam family "Bacterial small subunit ribosomal RNA", at positions 338 to 795 of the family's 1533-position model. The record is from RNAcentral.